AUGUGGGUUUGAAGCCAGCGUUUGAAAAUCACUCGCUCUCAGGUGAAACCAGGCCCUGGGUCAGAGCAACUUGCUCGGCUCGGGCGCAUCUCCCGUGUGCUAGACAAAGGCACCGUGGCCUGGGCGGCUUGUAAACCACGGAAAUUUCUUUCGCGCGGAUGUCGAGGCUGUCCUCGGAGACUGGGGUGCCGGUCAGCUCAGGUUGCCCUUCCGGUGCGGGCCUUUCUCUGUUCUCAGGUGGCUCCGGGGCUGCUGGGGGGGGAGGGGGGGCUCUUUGGGGUCCCUUCUGGGAGAUCGCUAACCCCUUGGUGAGGGCUCUACCCACAUGACCCAGUCACUUCCCAAAGGCCCACGACCGGCCAGUGGGGCACCUCAUCUUGGAGUCUGUCCGUUUGUCGCUGUGCUCUGUGAUGCCAUUGGAGUUCAGGCCACCCCUGCUUCCCGUGGGUCUCGCUGCUCCCUGUUGUGCUCUCUUCUCCUCGUGUCACCAGAGAGCACAUUGGACCGUGUCACUGCCCUAGUCACGCUGUUCAGUGACUUCCGGUGCAGCCCUUGAUGAGACCAGACACGACCAGGCCUGUGCCGCCCUCACCGCCCUCCUGUCUCUGCCAUCCUUCUUUCCACAAACGCCCAGCAACCCCCACAUCAUCCUCACCCGCCUCCAAACAUCUGGAACCACUCCGAGACUGUCUUGAGUACGUGCCCUGGUGCCCUGGGCAUGCUAUGUCUGGAAAGCUCUGCCCCACCUCUUUGCCUGGCCCACUCCUUUCUGUCCAUUCUUCAAGACAGGAUUUGGACAUCCUUUCCCACCAGAAGCCACCUGGAUCUCUCAGUGGGCCCGUUUACCUCUUAUGUCCUCCAGCAGAACCAUUGCUUGUAUUCUUGGUAUCCCCGAGCCCGUGAAGUCGGGGUCGGGAAUGUUUUAUUCGCAGAGGUAGAAUGGGCACUCAGGAGUAAUGUAAUAAAUUAGCAAAGUGCCAGUGGAUGGUCCGACAUCAACAACUCAGAAAGCACAGCCAUCUGAGGCUACCGCGUAUGAGACCACGAUCCCUGGCCACUUAGUUCCAUGCCUGCAUCAGAGUCCAGAACAGUCCGUUCUGACACAGAUAAGGAGAAACCAGCAGGUUCUCUGUGGAGUUCCAGUUUUAACAGGAUAGGUUCCAAUCCUCUGCUCCCGUCAGUCUGGCCUCAUUGAACAAAACAAGCAACUAGGAGGUUCCCUCCCCGGGCACCUGCCCCACUCCCCUGCCCCGCCCCCUCCCCACCCUUGAGGUCUCCGUGAGACCUUCCCAGGCUGCACUAUUACAGGCCUCAACUCCUGGUCCCUCAGGCCCCAGCACGUGAUCCGCUUCUGUGCUCCAUUCGCCUCCACAGCUGGUAUCACUCUCCAAGCUGCAACUUGUUUUGCUUGUCUUGUUUCUUGUCUGCCGGCCGGUCGACUGCAAGCCCCAUGAGGGCAGGGUUGAUGGCUUUUUUCUCGUUUUGUUCGGGGCUGUGCCCGCAGUGCACCCCGUGUCAGGGGCACAGCUGGAUUAACUCUCUGCUGAAUGCACGUAUAUAAGACUGAAGCACAUCACUGAGGGUGGACACGCAGGACACUGUGAUGCAAAUUUUGGAAUGACAUUCAGGAAGCGGGAAGCCCGGAAGCUUUGAAGCUGUGCUUGGCAGCUGGCCUGGUGGUAACAGAGAGCUCGGCGAAAGACAGAAAUACCCCAUCCUAGUUUUCUCUGUCUUCUCUGUGAAAAUGAUCUAAAAACUGAGAGGGAAGAAAGACUUAUGUAAUGAGAUCAAUUAGCUCUGAGAUAUUCAUGAGAGAAGACAGACCCCUUUCUUCAACUUCUCUCCAUCACUUCAAGCCUCCUCCUACCCCUCCUUCCAACGGGCAGGAAAUCCAGUCUCCGUGAUUUUGUGGAAGACUCUUCCCUACAAGACCUGGCCGGAGAGACCCAUGUCAAGUCCUGGUUAACUUGAAGCGUGUGGUUCAAGAAAGGAGAGGAAACCAGCAGCUGGCGCUGAAGGCUUUCCAGGAGAUCAGAUGGGUCCAAGGGAGGACGUCCCAGGGAACUAGAGUGAGGCUCAUUGGAGGCAUGGAGAUAAUUAGGAAUCUUUGAGCAAAUAUGGGGCAUGAUUGAGUUGCAAGAUAAAAGAGUACCUUCAUUUUGGCAAGAUGAUUUAUGAGUAUUCUUGAUACUUACCUCUGCAGACAAGUUGGGGGGGAUAUUGGCCAGAGGAGUCCACACCACGUACAUUGCACACUUAACUGUGCUCUGCAUUGAAAUCACAAAGAUGAAUAAAACAUGGUCCUUGUCUUGGAGAAACAGCCUGGAGGCCAUGGUAUCCGAGUUCCCACCAUUAGAGUUACUUUUUAGUUAAACUACUUCAUGAAGCCACCGCUUAAUGGAAGGAGGAAGGAACAAUCUAAUGAUUCCACGAGUGGUUGUCUAGUCUCAGUUGGUUUGCAAGAUGAGUUGCGUAGAUCUAGAAGAAACCAGGAACAGAAAUCGUUCGUUGAUUGUUGUGCUCGGGCUCUGGACAAAAGAGAACCGCCGAUUCAAUCUCUGCCUCCUUCACAGCUUGCCAAUCAAAGAGAGGCACAGAAGUAGGACACAGAGAGCAGGAAGAAACAUCUAAACGUGAAUGGCGGUGAGAUAUUUAUAGCGUGUGGAGCUCUGGAAUGCACAGCUGCAACCCGCAGGGAAAUGAGCAGUGGGCAAACCUAUCUGUCAAUCCAGCCUGCACUCGGUCCCUCGCGUUCCGAUGCGCAACGGCCGGGUGCCCAGCCCUGCACGGGGAGUCUUGAGGUGUGUAAACAUGGGAGAAAUCAUGGUCCUCAGUCUCAAGGAGGUCACCAUGAGAGGAGAGCUAAGCCAGACACGUGAUUGAGUGGUGACAGCACACAAGUGGAGUCAGGCAGGCUGUCAUCCGAUUUCAAUUUCACGGUGCCACUCUGAGCCAUUGUCUCCUUUUCUGUAACAAGAGGUGAUAGUAUGCACCACCCAGGGUUGUGUAAACAUUUAAGGAGCUAACAAAAAGUCCUAAUGCAACGACUGAUCUCAUAAAUGUUAGUUUUCCUCCUUUCUUCCACAAAUUACUCUUAAUGCGAAGCAGGAAGUGAUGUGACACAAGAAAAAUGCUCCGAGUUCGGAGAAUGGAGGUGCAAUUAUUGGCAGCUGGGGAGCUCCAAGAAGAAGUUCAGGGCAGGGGUGGCAUUUGACCCUGGCUUUGAAGAUGGAUGGAUUUAACUAUGUAGAAACAGGGGAUGAGGAAUUCCAGACAGGGAACAACAUGGACAAAGUCCCGGGGCAGGUGAAUGCUGGAGAGGUAGAUAAUGUUGGGAGAAAAUCAGGGGUCAUGUCAUUUAGGACUUUGAUGCUAGGCUAAGGUGAAGCCUCAGUUAUAAUCAAGGGUAUUUGAGCUGGAAGGUG
Neofelis nebulosa (Clouded leopard) is the source of this 3425-nucleotide long non-coding RNA. RefSeq lists it as uncharacterized. The transcript is spliced from 5 exons. Lineage: Eukaryota; Metazoa; Chordata; Mammalia; Carnivora; Felidae. The record is from RefSeq and is a predicted model, not a curated record.